CAGAAAGUGGAAUGAAAGCUCUCCAGUCUCUGGGCGAAAAACAGCAGGGGUUUUUGUGAUUGGUCCUUCUGGGAACAAUGACACUGGAGCGCGUGUGCUCGAGACGACUCCAUGUUUUACUUUCAGUGUUUGAACGAAUACAACAUCUCCCGGUUGGAAUAUUAUCGCUAUUUUACGAGAAAAAUCGCAUAUUUUUGUUUUUUAAACAGCAUUUGACAUGCUUCGAAGUACGGUAAUGGAAUAUUAAAAAAAAAAUUGUCACGAAACGCGCCGGCGCGUCACCCUUCGGAUAGUUACCUGAACGCAUGAACAAAACGGAGUUAUUUCAAUAUAACUAUGGAUUAUUUCUAACCAUAACAACAUUUGUUGUUGAAGUAGAAGUCCUGGGAGUGCAUUCUGACGAAGAACAGCAAAGCAGCAUCCAGGCCUCCAGAGUACUCACCCUAUCACCUUCUGUAGGGACGGGAGCCGCAGCUGUUUACUGAGGUGAGCCUGAACAUGGACAAGGUUCAGGAGAAACAUAAGGAAAACCACCAGAGGAGAAUCAAGAAGGGGACCAAGUGCUUCGACAUCCGGUCAAAUUACUUGGCUUGGAAGAAGGAUGAAAGGAAGUCGAGACCUUGCUGCUCUUUCGCUCCUAGCUGGGGCCACGAUCCGUUCAGGGACCAUCCCUCACCUCCCUCAUCAACCCCACUGACAUAAAAAAAAUACAGACAGGACCUAGGGGUACUGCCUAACACCCAGAUGUGGAUCUACCUGAUGUCCUCCAUUACCAACCACCCUCCAACUUUUCAUUACAUCAUCUACAGCUACUGUUACUGUCAUGUUGUCAUUAUCUGCUAAGAAAGAGCAAGAAAACUAUCAUACUGGGAACAUAAUGUGAGAUACAAUGAUUAUCUAAAAACACUAGCACUCAGAACAAAGAGAGCAGCAGUGCAUGGACUUCAGUCUCCCUCUUCCAGUCCCCCUUCCGAGACUGACUGUUUGUUGAGAACAGUGACAGACAGAACCUCCCAACCACAUAGCACCCACCUCCUCUCUAUUCCACACACCAGAAUUCAGUAUUUCAGUCUAUGAUUGCCAUGUGAGGACAAAAAAAGCUAAGUUUUAAAUAUAUAAUCGUAAAUAUUGCCAGGUUGGUUUUCAUAGCUUGUUCAUUGUUGAAAAUAUUAAUGUAUCCCUUGAUGAUAUUUGUUAGGUCAACAUUAUUCAUUGUUGUAUCAUAGGACCUAUAAUAGAUAAACAUUCAACCACAAUGAGCUAUAUAAACUCAGCAAAAAAAUAAACGUCCUCUCACUCUCAACUGCGUUUAUUUUCAGCAAACUUAACGUGUAAAUAUUUGUAUGAACAUAACAAGAUUCAACAACUGAGACAUAAACUGAACAAGUUCCACAGACAUGUGACUAAUAGAACUGGAACAAUGUGUCCCUGAACAAAGGGGGGUUCAAAAUCAAAAGUAACAGUCAGUAUCUGGUCUGGCCACCAGCUGCAUUAAGUACUGCAGUGCAUCUCCUCCUCGUGGACUGCACCAGAUUUGCCAGUUCUUGCUGUGAGAUGUUACCCCACUCUUCCACCAAGGCACCUGCAAGUUCCCUGACAUUUCUGGAGGGAAUGGCCCUAGCCCCCACCCUCUGAUCAUACAGGUCCCAGACGUGCUCAAUGGGAUUGAGAUCCGGGCUCAUCGCUGGCCAUGGUAGAACACUGACAUUCCUGUCUUGCAGGAAAUCACACACAGAACGAGCAGUAUGGCUAGUGUCAUUGUCAUGCUGGAGGGUCAUGUCAGGAUGAGCCUGCAGGAAGGAUACCACAUGAGGGAGGAGAAUGUCUUCCUUGUAACGCACAGCGUUGAGAAUUCCUGCAAUGACAACAAGCUCAGUCUGAUGAUGCUGUGACACACCACCCCAGACCAUGAUGGACCCUCCACAUCGAUCCCGCUCCAGAGUACAGGCCUCGGUGUAAAGCUCAUUCCUUCAACGUGAACGCAAUUCCGACCAUCACGCCUGGUGAGACAAAACUGCAACUCGUCAGUGAAGAGCACUUUUAGCCAGUCCUGUCUGGUCCAGCGACGGUGGGUUUGUGCCCAUAGGCAACGUUGUUGCCGGGGAUGUCUGGUGAGCCCUCAGUCCAGCCUCUCUCAGCCUAUUGCGGACAGUCUGAGCACUGAUGGAGGGAUUGUGCAUUCCUGGUGUAACUCGGGCAGUUGUUGUUGCCAUCCUGUACCUGUCCCGCAGGUGUGAUGUUCUGAUGUACCGAUCCUGUGCAGGUGUUGUUACACGUGGUCUGCCACUGCGAGGACAAUCAGCUGUCCGCCCUGUCUCCCUGUAGUGCUGUCUUAGGCGACUCACAGUACGGACAUUGUGUAAAUCAGCUAGAAAGAUGUGUCGGCAUCAAGUAAUUGUCUCUGGCCCCCUCCCAGUUAGGGGGAGUGAUGAGCUCUACAGCAGAGUCUCAAAACUCAAUCACUGGUUGAAAACUGUUUUCUGCCCCUACCAAAAGAUAGAAUUUGUAGAUAAUUGGUCCUCUUUCUGGGACUCACCCACAAACAGGACCAAGCCUGGCCUGUUGAUGAGUGACUGACUCCAUCCUAGCUGGAGGGGUGCUCUCAUCUUAUCUAAGAACAUAGACAGGGCUCUAACUUCCCUAGCUCCACAAUGAGAUAGGGUGCAGGCCAGGCAGCAGGCUGUUAGCCAGCCUGCCAGCCUGCCAGCUUAGUGGAGCCUGCCACUAGCACAGUCAGUGUAGUCAGUUCAGCAAUCCCCAUUGAGACCGUGUCUGUGCCUCGAUCUACGAUGGGCAAAACAAAAAAUGGCGGUGGUUGGUUUAGCAAUCUCACCGGUAUAAAGACCUCCUCC
This 2852-nucleotide long non-coding RNA is filed under the name Salmo salar (Atlantic salmon). Its description in RNAcentral is "lncRNA (ENSSSAG00000096714.1)". The record is from RNAcentral. Lineage: Eukaryota; Metazoa; Chordata; Actinopteri; Salmoniformes; Salmonidae.